This 24-nucleotide non-coding RNA is filed under the name Mus musculus (house mouse). Lineage: Eukaryota; Metazoa; Chordata; Mammalia; Rodentia; Muridae. The record is from RNAcentral.
UGCUAGUCUUGAAGGUAGAGAGGC